GACGGGGGGUCCUAGCGUUGUUCGGAAUUAUUGGGCGUAAAGCGUGUGCAGGUUGUUUGAAAAGUUGGAUGUGAAAUCCUUGGGCUUAACCCAAGACGUGCAUUCAAAACUGCCAAACUUGAGUAUGGAAGAGGAUCGUGGAAUUCCUAGUGUAGUGGUGAAAUACGUAGAGAUCCGGAAGAACACCGACGGCGAAGGCAGCGUCCUGGCCGAGCACUGACGCUCAGGCACGAAAGCGCGGGGAGCGAACAGG
Molecule: ribosomal RNA, 253 nt
Filed under: uncultured bacterium
Lineage: Bacteria
Description: partial 16S ribosomal RNA
Rfam family: Bacterial small subunit ribosomal RNA
Source: RNAcentral